Canis lupus familiaris (dog) is the source of this 438-nucleotide long non-coding RNA. RefSeq lists it as uncharacterized. NCBI's taxonomy places the organism in Eukaryota, Metazoa, Chordata, Mammalia, Carnivora, Canidae. The record is from RefSeq and is a predicted model, not a curated record. The transcript has 2 exons.
CCCACCCGCCCAGCUCGACGCCGGAAGCGAUGCGCCGAAAGGCAGCGCGCCGGAAGCGGCGUCACCGGGAGCGACGCCCCCUCCUUCCGCUCUCUGGAAGGCGCAGUGUUGGGAGCUCAAGCGGCACCCCUGGGAGACGGAAACCCCGACAGUGCAGCAACCACUGGAAUGCCGAGCCGCCUAUUCACUGCCCGGGCUGUAGGCCUUCCUCGCCCUUCCUCGCCGUGCCGCGUGGGCUCUGCUGGUCAGUACCCCACCACUACUGUCGUGGCCCCACAUUCUAGUGCUGGUUUCCCUCUCUUCUCGAUCAGGAUGUCGAUCCUUACCCAGAUAAGAGGCCCGCCCACAAGGGACAUUUUGCAGCACAUGAAGCUUUGUAAAUGUCAGAUUUAUUAAAGUAUAAUUUACAUACAAUAAAGCACAAUUGGAUGAGUUUGA